This 1343-nucleotide ribosomal RNA is filed under the name uncultured bacterium. Its description in RNAcentral is "16S ribosomal RNA". It matches the Rfam family "Bacterial small subunit ribosomal RNA", at positions 28 to 1378 of the family's 1533-position model. The record is from RNAcentral.
GACGAACGCUGGCGGCGUGCUUAACACAUGCAAGUCGAACGGAAAGGCCCUGCUUUUGUGGGGUGCUCGAGUGGCGAACGGGUGAGUAACACGUGAGUAACCUGCCCUUGACUUUGGGAUAACUUCAGGAAACUGGGGCUAAUACCGGAUAGGAGCUCCUGCUGCAUGGUGGGGGUUGGAAAGUUUCGGCGGUUGGGGAUGGACUCGCGGCUUAUCAGCUUGUUGGUGGGGUAGUGGCUUACCAAGGCUUUGACGGGUAGCCGGCCUGAGAGGGCGACCGGCCACAUUGGGACUGAGAUACGGCCCAGACUCCUACGGGAGGCAGCAGUGGGGAAUAUUGCACAAUGGGCGGAAGCCUGAUGCAGCAACGCCGCGUGCGGGAUGACGGCCUUCGGGUUGUAAACCGCUUUCGCCUGUGACGAAGCGUGAGUGACGGUAAUGGGUAAAGAAGCACCGGCUAACUACGUGCCAGCAGCCGCGGUGAUACGUAGGGUGCGAGCGUUGUCCGGAUUUAUUGGGCGUAAAGGGCUCGUAGGUGGUUGAUCGCGUCGGAAGUGUAAUCUUGGGGCUUAACCCUGAGCGUGCUUUCGAUACGGGUUGACUUGAGGAAGGUAGGGGAGAAUGGAAUUCCUGGUGGAGCGGUGGAAUGCGCAGAUAUCAGGAGGAACACCAGUGGCGAAGGCGGUUCUCUGGGCCUUUCCUGACGCUGAGGAGCGAGAGCGUGGGGAGCGAACAGGCUUAGAUACCCUGGUAGUCCACGCUGUAAACGGUGGGUACUAGGUGUGGGGUCCAUUCCACGGGUUCCGUGCCGUAGCUAACGCUUUAAGUACCCCGCCUGGGGAGUACGGCCGCAAGGCUAAAACUCAAAGGAAUUGACGGGGCCCCGCACAAGCGGCGGAGCAUGCGGAUUAAUUCGAUGCAACGCGUAGAACCUUACCUGGGUUUGACAUGGAUCGGGAGCGCUCAGAGAUGGGUGUGCCUCUUUUGGGGUCGGUUCACAGGUGGUGCAUGGCUGUCGUCAGCUCGUGUCGUGAGAUGUUGGGUUAAGUCCCGCAACGAGCGCAACCCUUGUUCACUGUUGCCAGCACGUUAUGGUGGGGACUCAGUGGAGACCGCCGGGGUCAACUCGGAGGAAGGUGGGGAUGACGUCAAGUCAUCAUGCCCCUUAUGUCCAGGGCUUCACGCAUGCUACAAUGGCUGGUACAGAGAGUGGCGAGCCUGUGAGGGUGAGCGAAUCUCGGAAAGCCGGUCUCAGUUCGGAUUGGGGUCUGCAACUCGACCUCAUGAAGUCGGAGUCGCUAGUAAUCGCAGAUCAGCAACGCUGCGGUGAAUACGUUCCCGGG